CACAGGAAUAUACUUUACAUGGUGACUAUCUCUAUUCCUCAGUACGGCAAUAACAUUAGUCAUUUCUCACCAUAGAUAAAGAAUAUAUGCCUCACUUUGCCAGAGCUGCCGAUGUGUGCAAAGUGCUGUGUGAAUAAAGCCAAUCAGGCACAACUUUGCGGGUGGAGCGAGUGGUGAGGAGAGAACUUCAAGCAAGGUCCAAUGUUAACACAAUGUCAGGCCAUAGAAGGCCAACAGAGCAACAUAGCUUUUCAAAUCAGAGUGUUCCAA
Hippocampus comes (tiger tail seahorse) is the source of this 270-nucleotide long non-coding RNA. RefSeq lists it as uncharacterized. The transcript is spliced from 3 exons. The record is from RefSeq and is a predicted model, not a curated record. NCBI's taxonomy places the organism in Eukaryota, Metazoa, Chordata, Actinopteri, Syngnathiformes, Syngnathidae.